RNAcentral lists this ribosomal RNA (430 nucleotides) under bacterium. Its description in RNAcentral is "partial 16S ribosomal RNA". It matches the Rfam family "Bacterial small subunit ribosomal RNA", at positions 355 to 776 of the family's 1533-position model. The record is from RNAcentral.
UGGGGAAUAUUGGACAAUGGGCGAAAGCCUGAUCCAGCCAUGCCGCGUGUGUGAAGAAGGCCUUUUGGUUGUAAAGCACUUUAAGCGAGGAGGAGGCUACUUGGAUUAAUACUCUAGGAUAGUGGACGUUACUCGCAGAAUAAGCACCGGCUAACUCUGUGCCAGCAGCCGCGGUAAUACAGAGGGUGCGAGCGUUAGUCGGAUUUACUGGGCGUAAAGCGUGCGUAGGCGGCUUCUUAAGUCGGAUGUGAAAUCCCUGAGCUUAACUUAGGGAUUGCAUUCUAUACUGGGAAGCUAGAGUAUGGGGGAGGGUGGUGGAAUUCCAGGUGUGGCGAUGAAAUGCGUGUAGAUCUAGAGGAAUGCCGAUGGCGAAGGCAGGCAUCUGGCCUAAUACUGACUCUGUGGUACGAAAGAAUGGGGGGCAAACAAA